UACGUAGGGUGCAAGCGUUGUCCGGAAUUAUUGGGCGUAAAGAGCUCGUAGGCGGUCUGUCGCGUCUGCUGUGAAAACUCAGGGCUUAACCCUGGGCCUGCAGUGGGUACGGGCAGACUAGAGUGCGGUAGGGGAGACUGGAAUUCCUGGUGUAGCGGUGAAAUGCGCAGAUAUCAGGAGGAACACCGGUGGCGAAGGCGGGUCUCUGGGCCGUAACUGACGCUGAGGAGCGAAAGCAUGGGUAGCGAACAGG
This 253-nucleotide ribosomal RNA is filed under the name uncultured bacterium. Its description in RNAcentral is "partial 16S ribosomal RNA". It matches the Rfam family "Bacterial small subunit ribosomal RNA", at positions 524 to 776 of the family's 1533-position model. The record is from RNAcentral.